GGUAUUAUUGGUAUAAACUGCUUAAUUCCUUUAUGUAAAGCCACCUUAACAUGUUUUUGCAUAAUUCUGACUCACGUUGGUUGCUAUCGGGCUUAAGCCAUAAAAAUCGAAGAAAAAAAGAAGAAGACGCCCACUUUCACUUGUCAUUUCAAUGUCACUUUCCGGCCCACAAGCAUAAACGCCACCGGCAACGGGAGUUCCCAAAAUCGAAACAAAUGUUGGAAGAUAUUUUUAAGUUUCCACAUCUUUCUUACUUUUCUAUAUGAAAAUAAAAUUGGACUACACCAACAAAGGUUAUGUGUUUGGCACCAGAUUGAAACCAUCAUAGCGAAAAACGGACCUGUCAUUUCUUUAAAUUUCCAAAAGAGCCCCUGGAAAAAGAAAAAUUAAUAUCUCUGCUAAGGAAUACUAAGGCAAAUGGAUAAAAAACCUUCAGUCCAUGCAUUGGUAUGUAAUUGUUGACAAAAAUACAAUGAAUGGCCUCACUACUUUUCCACAUGCAAAGAGGUUAACCAAGGAGAAAUUAAAGAAAUUGUCAAAAACCUAGGUAAAUACAGAAUUGCUUAGUACAAACAUAUCUAUACCCAGUACAAGUUCGUCCACUUCUUUGAAGCAUGGUACUUCAAACAGAGACACUGUCAACAAUUUUGUAGAAGGUGAGCCGGUGUCAAAUUCCAGUAAGGGACAUGAUUUCAAUUUUGCACCAACAGCAGAGCUAAAAUUCAUUUUGUCGCAAAAAACUGGAGGAUGUGAAAGAAAAAAGUGCAGAAGUUAAAAUUAAGUUUUUCAUAUGAGCACAUAAAAAAUAAUCAUGACAAAGUUCAGUUGUAUACAGGUUUGACAUGUAAUAAAUAUUUUUGUAAUCUUAUUAAGUUAAUUAGUUUUAUAUAUUAUUUAAAUAAUAAUUGUAUACUUCACAUAGAAUAUGCAGAAAUUAUAUGUACAUAUAUAAAUUUUUUUAUUAAGAUAAGGACAACAUGUAUUAAAGCAUAACACAUAAUAUAAACACACACGUAAUAUCUUCAUUAAAAAUUCUGAUUGUAUGUUAUGUAGCAUUAGAGCCUAAAAACAUUAAGGAGAAUAAAGGUCGUUAUUGGCAAAUGACAAUAUUAUUUUCUCUAUUUCCUACAUUUUUGGUGAAGGGAAUAGGCUCUGCCCUAAAAAGCUAGGUUAAACCAAGAGCAAAAAAGUUUAGGUCUCAUGAGUGUAAGUAAAGUAAACCUUUCUAUUAAAAAGGCCAUCCAAGAUAAAAAAAAUAUACUAAAAAUAUUAAUGUUAAUUCUUUAGCGACAUCUAGGGUGGAUAUGCUGAAUCAACUCAUCAAUUAAUUCACUGUCGUACUGAUGAAAGUUAUGGCGUAUUCACCAAAGUAUGCAGAUAAUCGCUGAUUUCAAAAUAAUUUUAUUUGCGUUUUCAAAUUAUGCUUAAAAUUCAA
This is a long non-coding RNA of Anthonomus grandis grandis, 1435 nucleotides long. RefSeq lists it as uncharacterized. The record is from RefSeq and is a predicted model, not a curated record. Lineage: Eukaryota; Metazoa; Arthropoda; Insecta; Coleoptera; Curculionidae. The transcript has 4 exons.